This is an RNA transcript of Cucumis sativus (cucumber), 4489 nucleotides long. It is a transcript of the gene named TMV resistance protein N, with no coding region annotated. The transcript is spliced from 6 exons. The record is from RefSeq and is a predicted model, not a curated record. NCBI's taxonomy places the organism in Eukaryota, Viridiplantae, Streptophyta, Magnoliopsida, Cucurbitales, Cucurbitaceae.
UAUGAACUCUACAAACAGACUUCCCACCUUCUUGACUUUUAUGUUCCAUUCAAUUUAAUUACGAUGUUGAUGGAAAAAUGGGAGAGGUAGAGAAAAGUCUUUGGAUGAAAGUGGAAGCUGUACUGUAUCAAUCAACUUCUUUACUGGCGGUGCCAACUGAAUCAAAUUAUAUUGAGAGUUGAAGCGUCUGAUUUUUUCUCUUUAUCUAAUACAUCAUUCUUCAAUUUUUUUCUCUUUUGUUUAGUCUUGGUCUUUCUUUCUGAUGGAUUCUUCCACUGUUGCAACAGAAUCACCGACUUUCAAAUGGACUUAUGAUGUGUUUUUGAGUUUCAGAGGAGAGGAUACUCGCACCAAUUUCACCAGUCAUCUUGAUAUGGCCUUGCGUCAAAAGGGUGUCAAUGUCUUCAUAAACGACAAGCUCGAAAGGGGUGAGCAAAUUUCUGAAUCCCUUUUCAAAUCUAUACAGGAAGCUUCCAUUUCUAUUGUUAUAUUCUCUCAAAAUUAUGCAUCUUCUUCCUGGUGUCUGGAUGAGUUGGUGAACAUAAUUGAGUGUAAGAAAUCCAAGGGCCAGAAUGUUUUCCCAGUUUUCUAUAAGGUGGAUCCGUCCGAUAUACGAAAACAAACUGGUAGCUUCGGAGAAGCACUGGCCAAACAUCAGCCUAAGUUCCAAACAAAGACCCAAAUUUGGAGGGAAGCUUUAACUACUGCUGCUAACUUGUCUGGUUGGAAUCUAGGAACUAGGAAGGAGGCUGAUCUUAUUGGAGAUCUUGUUAAAAAAGUGUUGUCUGUAUUAAACCGCACUUGCACGCCCUUAUAUGUAGCUAAGUAUCCGGUUGGAAUUGAUUCUAAACUAGAAUAUAUGAAGCUUCGUUCACAUAGUCUUUUUGAGAAGAGCAACAAAUUCCAUUAUCGAAAACAACAUGAGUAUGAGUCUGAUACUGGUGUUUACAUGGUGGGCUUAUAUGGCAUUGGAGGCAUUGGUAAGACAACUUUGGCUAAAGCUUUAUACAACAAAAUUGCUAGCCAAUUUGAAGGUUGCUGCUUUCUAUCAAAUGUUAGAGAAGCUUCAAAGCAAUUCAAUGGCCUUGCUCAACUACAGGAAACCCUACUCUAUGAGAUCCUAACGGUUGAUUUGAAGGUUGUCAACCUUGAUAGAGGAAUUAACAUCAUAAGGAAUAGAUUGUGUUUGAAGAAAGUCCUUAUAGUUCUUGAUGAUGUAGAUAAGCUUGAGCAGUUAGAAGCAUUGGUUGGCGGGCGUGAUUGGUUUGGCCAAGGCAGUAGAAUCAUUGUGACGACAAGGAACAAACAUUUACUUUCUAGCCAUGGCUUUGAUGAAAUGAAAAAUAUUCUAGGAUUGGAUGAAGACAAAGCUAUUGAGCUUUUUAGUUGGCAUGCUUUCAAGAAAAAUCAUCCAUCAAGUAAUUAUUUAGACCUUUCAAAACGUGCUACAAGUUAUUGUAAAGGCCAUCCUUUGGCUCUCGUUGUUUUGGGUUCUUUCCUCUGUACCAGAGAUCAAGUAGAAUGGUGUAGUAUAUUAGAUGAAUUUGAAAACUCUUUGAACAAAGAUAUCAAAGAUAUUCUUCAAUUAAGUUUUGAUGGUCUGGAAGACAAAGUAAAGGAUAUCUUUCUUGAUAUUUCUUGUUUACUUGUGGGAGAGAAAGGUAAGUACGUUAAGGAUAUGUUGAGUGCAUGUCAUGUAAAUCUAGAUUUUGGAAUUAUAGUACUCACGGAUCUUUCAUUUAUUACGAUUGAAAAUGGCAUAAUGCAAAUGCAUGAUUUAAUAAAACAGAUGGGUCAUAAAAUAGUUUGUGGUGAAUCUCUUGAGCUUGGAAAGAGGAGUAGGUUGUGGUUGGUACAGGAUGUUUGGGAGGUGCUUGUUAAUAAUUAAGGAACAGACGCAGUUAAAGGCAUAAAGUUGGACUUUCCUAAUUCCACGAGGCUGGAUGUGGAUCCACAAGCUUUUAGAAAAAUGAAAAAUUUGAGAUUGCUUAUUGUUCAAAAUGCAAGAUUUUCUACAAAGAUUGAGUACCUACCUGAUAGCUUAAAGUGGAUUAAGUGGCAUGGAUUUCGUCAACCAACUUUUCCUUCGUUCUUCACUAUGAAAAAUCUUGUUGGACUAGAUUUGCAACAUAGCUUCAUCAAAACAUUUGGGAAAAGACUUGAGGAUUGUGAAAGGUUGAAGCUUGUUGAUCUUAGCUACUCUACUUUCUUAGAGAAAAUUCCUAAUUUCUCUGCAGCAUCAAACCUUGAAGAGUUGUAUCUCUCCAAUUGCACAAAUUUAGGAAUGAUAGAUAAGUCUGUUUUCUCUCUCGAUAAGCUUACUGUCCUAAACCUUGAUGGUUGUUCUAACCUUAAAAAGCUUCCAAGAGGCUACUUCAUGUUAAGUUCUCUUAAAAAAUUGAAUCUCUCUUACUGCAAAAAACUUGAGAAAAUUCCAGACUUAUCUUCAGCAUCAAACCUUACGAGCUUGCAUAUCUAUGAAUGCACAAAUUUAAGAGUAAUUCAUGAAUCUGUUGGAUCUUUGGAUAAGCUUGAAGGUUUGUACCUUAAACAAUGCACUAACCUGGUAAAGCUUCCAAGCUAUCUCAGCUUAAAGUCUCUUCUAUGUUUAUCACUUUCUGGGUGUUGUAAGCUUGAAAGCUUCCCAACAAUUGCUGAAAACAUGAAAUCUUUAAGGACCUUGAAUUUGGAUUUUACUGCCAUAAAGGAGUUACCUUCAUCAAUUAGAUAUCUCACUAAGCUUUGGACAUUAAAACUUAAUGGUUGCACAAACCUCAUCUCCCUUCCCAAUACAAUUUAUUUGUUAAGGAGUCUUAAGAAUCUUCUUCUUAGUGGCUGUUCUAUAUUUGGAAUGUUUCCCGAUAAAUGGAACCCAACCAUCCAACCAGUAUGCUCUCCUUCAAAAAUGAUGGAAACUGCUUUGUGGAGCUUAAAAGUUCCCCAUUUCCUAGUACCAAAUGAAAGUUUUUCCCAUAUCACUUUGUUGGAUCUUCAGUCUUGCAACAUAUCAAAUGCAAAUUUUUUGGAUAUUUUAUGUGACGUUGCUCCUUUCUUAUCUGAUCUACGCUUGUCCGAAAACAAAUUCUCUAGUUUACCCUCAUGUCUCCACAAGUUCAUGUCGUUGUGGAAUCUUGAAUUAAGGAAUUGUAAGUUUCUUCAAGAAAUUCCAAGCCUUCCUGAGAGUAUACAAAAAAUGGAUGCCUGUGGUUGUGAAUCGUUGGCUCGAAUUCCAGAUAACAUUGUGGAUAUAAUAUCAAAAAAACAGGACCUCACAAUGGGUGAGAUUUCAAGAGAGUUUUUAUUAACGGGGAUUGAGAUUCCAGAAUGGUUCAGCUAUAAGACUACAUCCAAUUUGGUGAGUGCUAGCUUUCGUCACUAUCCAGACAUGGAAAGAACUUUGGCUGCCUGUGUUAGUUUCAAAGUAAAUGGAAAUUCAUCUGAAAGAGGUGCCCGGAUUUCAUGCAAUAUAUUCGUCUGCAAUAGACUCUAUUUUUCAUUGUCAAGACCAUUUCUUCCCUCAAAAUCAGAAUAUAUGUGGUUAGUAACAACUUCUCUAGCGUUGGGUUCCAUGGAGGUGAAUGACUGGAAUAAAGUUUUGGUCUGGUUUGAGGUUCAUGAAGCACAUAGUGAGGUUAAUGCAACUAUAACAAGGUAUGGUGUCCAUGUCACUGAAGAGCUCCAUGCGAUACAAACGGAUGUCAAGUGGCCGAUGGUAAAUUAUGCUGAUUUUUAUCAACUGGAGAAAUUGCAAAGUCUGGAUAUUGAGGAACUUCUUCUCAAACGCUUUUUUGAAGAAAUGUCGUGCUGGUCCAAUUCCCAAGCAAUGUUAUAUGCGGCAAAUUAUGAUCCAGAAGCAAUAAUCGAUUCGAAUAUACAACCUAUGAUAUUUCCAUUGCACGUAACAUAUAAUGGUGAGACAUUUAUAUGUGGAAUGGAAGGCAUGGGAGACACUACACUCGCCAACUCUUUAUGCAAUAAAUUUAAUUGGCCAAAUGACAACGUUCGGGCAAGAGAAGCUUUAGAUAAUUCUACAAGCUUUUUGCAUUUUCGAGGAGGAAAGUUUAAUGGAGGUUCCUGGUCAUCGUCCCACCACCGUAAGCGUGGAGAUGGUGAAAGAGGAACCAAUAUCACAACCCGCACAAUAUCCUCCAAACGCUAUUUGAUACUCUUUCAUAAAGCGGGGAGCUAUGAUGAUUUAUUUAACUUUGCUGGUAGCCACCGUUUGAUUGCAGGUUCUCGCAGUUAUGACAGUCUUAACGGAAGAGGUGAUGUUCGGCUUCUGAUUGAAAGGGUUGAUACAUCCUUGCUCUGAAGCUCACUUUUUAGUAAAAAUUUACAUUUAAACACCCUUUUAAUCUUUUUUUGGAGCUUGUAUAUAUUAAUUUAAACUUUAUGAUAAUUAAUAUCAAUUUAAACACUCAAUUAAAUAUAGUGUGAAACUUAUUAGUAAAAUUCUAAAUUGCUAUUAAGUGAAUCGAUUCAAACUCUU